GUUGCAGGUUAAAAAGCUCGUAGUUGGAUCUCAGUUCACGCUAAGUGGUCCACCUAAUGGUGGUUACUACUUAGCUGAGCAUUUUACAGAUUUGUCUCUUGAUGCUCUUCACCGAGUGUCAAGAGUGGUCUGUACGUUUACUUUGAAAAAAUUAGAGUGCUUAAAGCAGGCAACUCGCCCGAAUAAUCUUGCAUGGAAUAAUGGAAUAGGACCUUGGUUCUAUUUUGUUGGUCUCCGGAAUCUGAGGUAAUGAUUAAGAGGGACAGACGGGGGCAUUCGUAUUGCGCCGCUAGAGGUGAAAUUCUUGGACCGGCGCAAGACGAACUACAGCGAAAGCAUUUGCCAAGAAUGUUUUCAUUAAUCAAGAACGAAAGUUAGAGGUUCGAAGGCGAUCAGAUACCGCCCUAGUU
This 410-nucleotide ribosomal RNA is filed under the name Kymocta sp. F45. RNAcentral's name for it is "SSU rRNA". It matches the Rfam family "Eukaryotic small subunit ribosomal RNA", at positions 612 to 1025 of the family's 1831-position model. Lineage: Eukaryota; Metazoa; Arthropoda; Arachnida; Trombidiformes; Trombiculidae. The record is from RNAcentral.